GAAUGCUGACAUAAGUAACGAUAAAGCGGGUGAAAAGCCCGCUCGCCGGAAGACCAAGGGUUCCUGUCCAACGUUAAUCGGGGCAGGGUGAGUCGACCCCUAAGGCGAGGCCGAAAGGCGUAGUCGAUGGGAAACAGGUUAAUAUUCCUGUACUUGGUGUUACUGCGAAGGGGGGACGGAGAAGGCUAUGUUGGCCGGGCGACGGUUGUCCCGGUUUAAGCGUGUAGGCUGAUUUUCCAGGCAAAUCCGGAAAAUCAAGGCUGAGGCGUGAUGACGAGGCACUACGGUGCUGAAGCAACAAAUGCCCUGCUUCCAGGAAAAGCCUCUAAGCAUCAGGUAACAUCAAAUCGUACCCCAAACCGACACAGGUGGUCAGGUAGAGAAUACCAAGGCGCUUGAGAGAACUCGGGUGAAGGAACUAGGCAAAAUGGUGCCGUAACUUCGGGAGAAGGCACGCUGAUAUGUAGGUGAAGCGACUUGCUCGUGGAGCUGAAAUCAGUCGAAGAUACCAGCUGGCUGCAACUGUUUAUUAAAAACACAGCACUGUGCAAACACGAAAGUGGACGUAUACGGUGUGACGCCUGCCCGGUGCCGGAAGGUUAAUUGAUGGGGUUAGCGGUAACGCGAAGCUCUUGAUCGAAGCCCCGGUAAACGGCGGCCGUAACUAUAACGGUCCUAAGGUAGCGAAAUUCCUUGUCGGGUAAGUUCCGACCUGCACGAAUGGCGUAAUGAUGGCCAGGCUGUCUCCACCCGAGACUCAGUGAAAUUGAACUCGCUGUGAAGAUGCAGUGUACCCGCGGCAAGACGGAAAGACCCCGUGAACCUUUACUAUAGCUUGACACUGAACAUUGAGCCUUGAUGUGUAGGAUAGGUGGGAGGCUUUGAAGUGUGGACGCCAGUCUGCAUGGAGCCGACCUUGAAAUACCACCCUUUAAUGUUUGAUGUUCUAACGUUGGCCCGUUAUCCGGGUUGCGGACAGUGUCUGGUGGGUAGUUUGACUGGGGCGGUCUCCUCCUAAAGAAUAACGGAGGAGCACGAAGGUUGGCUAAUCCUGGUCGGACAUCAGGAGGUUAGUGCAAUGGCAUAAGCCAGCUUGACUGCGAGCGUGACGGCGCGAGCAGGUGCGAAAGCAGGUCAUAGUGAUCCGGUGGUUCUGAAUGGAAGGGCCAUCGCUCAACGGAUAAAAGGUACUCCGGGGAUAACAGGCUGAUACCGCCCAAGAGUUCAUAUCGACGGCGGUGUUUGGCACCUCGAUGUCGGCUCAUCACAUCCUGGGGCUGAAGUAGGUCCCAAGGGUAUGGCUGUUCGCCAUUUAAAGUGGUACGCGAGCUGGGUUUAGAACGUCGUGAGACAGUUCGGUCCCUAUCUGCCGUGGGCGCUGGAGAACUGAGGGGGGCUGCUCCUAGUACGAGAGGACCGGAGUGGACGCAUCACUGGUGUUCGGGUUGUCAUGCCAAUGGCACUGCCCGGUAGCUAAAUGCGGAAGAGAUAAGUGCUGAAAGCAUCUAAGCACGAAACUUGCCCCGAGAUGAGUUCUCCCUGACUCCUUGAGAGUCCUGAAGGAACGUUGAAGACGACGACGUUGAUAGGCCGGGUGUGUAAGCGCAGCGAUGCGUUGAGCUAACCGGUACUAAUGAACCGUGAGGCUUAACCUU
This 1655-nucleotide ribosomal RNA is filed under the name Escherichia coli. RNAcentral's name for it is "partial 23S ribosomal RNA". It matches the Rfam family "Bacterial large subunit ribosomal RNA", at positions 1292 to 2925 of the family's 2925-position model. Lineage: Bacteria; Pseudomonadati; Pseudomonadota; Gammaproteobacteria; Enterobacterales; Enterobacteriaceae. The record is from RNAcentral.